This is a non-coding RNA of Gossypium arboreum, 147 nucleotides long. Lineage: Eukaryota; Viridiplantae; Streptophyta; Magnoliopsida; Malvales; Malvaceae. The record is from Rfam.
UGUUAAAAGUUCCAUUUAUUUGUGCUAUUAAAAAAAUUGACGUGACUAACAAAAUAGUCAGACAAUAACAUUUGAUGUGUCACAUGCACUUUAUGUUAACGUACAGGGACUAGUUUUUAAUAGUGGGAAUGAAUGAAUUUUUUAAUC